UACGAAGGGGGCUAGCGUUGUCCGGAAUUACUGGGCGUAAAGAGCUCGUAGGUGGUUUGUCGCGUUGUCCGUGAAAACUCACAGCUCAACUGUGGGCGUGCGGGCGAUACGGGCAGACUGGAGUACUGCAGGGGAGACUGGAAUUCCUGGUGUAGCGGUGGAAUGCGCAGAUAUCAGGAGGAACACCGGUGGCGAAGGCGGGUCUCUGGGCAGUAACUGACGCUGAGGAGCGAAAGCGUGGGGAGCGAACAGG
Molecule: ribosomal RNA, 253 nt
Filed under: uncultured bacterium
Lineage: Bacteria
Description: partial 16S ribosomal RNA
Rfam family: Bacterial small subunit ribosomal RNA
Source: RNAcentral